Delphinapterus leucas (beluga whale) is the source of this 461-nucleotide non-coding RNA. NCBI's taxonomy places the organism in Eukaryota, Metazoa, Chordata, Mammalia, Artiodactyla, Monodontidae. The record is from RefSeq and is a predicted model, not a curated record.
AAGCUUUGGAUAGAUAAGUUGUGCUGACCUUCACACUGAGCACCCUCUGCAUGUAAAGUUCAUCACCAUACAAGGAGAUGAUUAUGAGCUUUAACCAGAAAAUGCAUGCACAAGUGAAAGAGAAAGCUGCCCUUUGAUUCUUCUCGACAGAGGCUGUGAUAAGCAAGUUCUCGACAGUCUGCACUGGCUGGGAAUGUGCAGGUGACUGUGGAGACAGCCGGGAAAGGACAAGAACGGGCAUAUGGUCCUCAUUGGCACAGCACACCAAAGUUCUCAAAUGUGGCAUCUAAUUCUGCGGUCCACCGGACAUCCUGAAUGGUGUUCUUCUAAAAGAGGUUAUAUGAGCAGGUGCUACGGGCCAGCCAUCGUGUCAGGUGUUUUACAUCCUGUUUAAUCUUCACAACAAUCCUUUGAGAGCACAGGCUCCGAACGCGCAGGCUCAGCGGCCAUGGCUCACGGGC